RNAcentral lists this ribosomal RNA (254 nucleotides) under uncultured bacterium. Its description in RNAcentral is "partial 16S ribosomal RNA". It matches the Rfam family "Bacterial small subunit ribosomal RNA", at positions 524 to 776 of the family's 1533-position model. The record is from RNAcentral.
UACGUAGGGUGCGAGCGUUAAUCGGAAUUACUGGGCGUAAAGCGUGCGCAGGCGGUCUGUUAAGACAGAUGUGAAAUCCCCGGGCUUAACCUGGGAACUGCAUUUGUGACUGGCAGGCUAGAGUAUGGCAGAGGGGGGUAGAAUUCCACGUGGUAGCAGUGAAAUGCGUAGAGAUGUGGAGGAAUACCGAUGGCGAAGGCAGCCCCCUGGGCCAAUACUGACGCUCAUGCACGAAAGCGUGGGGAGCAAACAGG